Molecule: non-coding RNA, 88 nt
Organism: Ophiobolus disseminans
Lineage: Eukaryota; Fungi; Ascomycota; Dothideomycetes; Pleosporales; Phaeosphaeriaceae
Source: the annotation of a GenBank genome assembly
UCCUCCGUGGCGCAAUUGGCUAGCGCGUCUGACUGUUAUUCCGCUCUUGGCAAUCAGGAGGUUGAAAGUUCGAGCCUUUCCGGGGGAG